GAUCCUGGCUCAGGAUGAACGCUAGCUACAGGCUUAACACAUGCAAGUCGAGGGGAAACGACAUCGAAAGCUUGCUUUGAUGGGCGUCGACCGGCGCACGGGUGAGUAACGCGUAUCCAACCUGCCCACCACUUGGGGAUAACCUUGCGAAAGUAAGACUAAUACCCAAUGAUAUCCCACGAAGGCAUCCGAAUGGGAUUAAAGAUUUAUCGGUGAUGGAUGGGGAUGCGUCUGAUUAGCUUGUUGGCGGGGUAACGGCCCACCAAGGCAACGAUCAGUAGGGGUUCUGAGAGGAAGGUCCCCCACAUUGGAACUGAGACACGGUCCAAACUCCUACGGGAGGCAGCAGUGAGGAAUAUUGGUCAAUGGGCGAGAGCCUGAACCAGCCAAGUAGCGUGCAGGAUGACGGCCCUAUGGGUUGUAAACUGCUUUUAUAAGGGAAUAAAGUGGGUCUCGUGAGACUUUUUGCAUGUACCUUAUGAAUAAGGACCGGCUAAUUCCGUG
Molecule: ribosomal RNA, 504 nt
Filed under: uncultured bacterium
Lineage: Bacteria
Description: bacterial SSU rRNA
Rfam family: Bacterial small subunit ribosomal RNA
Source: RNAcentral